Rhea pennata is the source of this 755-nucleotide long non-coding RNA. RefSeq lists it as uncharacterized. The record is from RefSeq and is a predicted model, not a curated record. The transcript is spliced from 4 exons. NCBI's taxonomy places the organism in Eukaryota, Metazoa, Chordata, Aves, Rheiformes, Rheidae.
CGCGCGCGGCCGUUGGCUCCGCGGCGUUUCCCGUGGAGGUGCCGCGGGCGGCGGGAGGAGCCGGGCCGGUCGCCUCCCCGGAGGUGAUCCAGGAGCGGGCUCUGGCCCGGGGCGCGCUGCAGUAGCUGAACUGCGGAGUUUCCAGGAAACUUCGGAUCCGCUGCACAGCGCAGUUGCUGAGCGAUGCGCAGGAGGCAGUAUGAACAGAGGAGCAGAUUAAACAACUCAUGAAAAAUGAAGUGAAAAAUGAAACGGAGUGGACUACCACACAAGUCAUAGCAGGCACUGAGAAGUCUGGAGAACUACUGCUUAUACUUCUGCUUCCUAGCUGAUGUGAAGAAACAGCUGCAGUGAGCAAAUGGACUCAUGCACGAAAAACAUCCUUCACAGGACAGAGAAAGAGCAACUGUUGGUAAGACUAAGAAAGAGACUGGAGGUCAAAAGUGGAACAUGAUGUAAAUCUUCGAAGACUACAGACUGUAUAUAUUCUGAAAGAGGAAGGCUGCUUAUGGGCUUUUUCUGCUUCCAUUCUCUUGAUGGAGUAUGUAAACAUGUUGGACAGAAGCUUGGGGCUAUACUCCAUGCUUUAGCCAUCCACCAAGCAGUGCUCUGGGUAAUGGAAACUGGAAAACUGCAGAGACUGAGAAUACAUGAGUGUAUAUUUGUACUUGCCAACAGUUUUAUCUUAUAAAAACAUAGAGGCUCUUUGCCUUGCAAAGACUUAAUCAAGAUGCAAUAAAUAUUAACAAUAAGAA